GACGGGACCCGCACAAGCGGUGGAUGAUGUGGAUUAAUUCGAUGCAACGCGAAGAACCUUACCUACCCUUGACAUGUCCGGAACUUGCCAGAGAUGGCUUUGGGUGCCCGAAAGGGAAUCGGAACACAGGUGCUGCAUGGCUGUCGUCAGCUCGUGUCGUGAGAUGUUGGGUUAAGUCCCGCAACGAGCGCAACCCUUAUCAUUAGUUGCUACGCAAGGGCACUCUAAUGAGACUGCCGGUGACAAACCGGAGGAAGGUGGGGAUGACGUCAAGUCCUCAUGGCCCUUAUGGGUAGGGCUUCACACGUCAUACAAUGGUCGGUACAGAGGGUUGCCAAGCCGCGAGGCGGAGCCAAUCCCACAAAGCCGAUCGUAGUCCGGAUUGUUCUCUGCAACUCGAGAGCAUGAAGUCGGAAUCGCUAGUAAUCGCAGGUCAGCAUACUGCGGUGAAUACGUUCCCGGGUCUU
Molecule: ribosomal RNA, 467 nt
Filed under: uncultured Thiobacillus sp.
Lineage: Bacteria; Pseudomonadati; Pseudomonadota; Betaproteobacteria; Nitrosomonadales; Thiobacillaceae
Description: bacterial SSU rRNA
Rfam family: Bacterial small subunit ribosomal RNA
Source: RNAcentral